Long non-coding RNA from Vicia villosa (hairy vetch), 2242 nucleotides. RefSeq lists it as uncharacterized. The transcript is spliced from 4 exons. The record is from RefSeq and is a predicted model, not a curated record. NCBI's taxonomy places the organism in Eukaryota, Viridiplantae, Streptophyta, Magnoliopsida, Fabales, Fabaceae.
GGUACAGAAGCACGUGAAGGUUUUUUAAUUUAGGAGGUUUUAUGAGUGGAACACAGCUGGCGUGGACAGAGAGCGGAAGCCAUUGGAUUAUCAUCAGACAGACACAAUGGCUUCUCCUUUGUACCGUUGGAGCUUGUGGGAUACAGCUGGCUGUGAGGAGGUUUUCUGGGUGAAUGGAAAAUGUGUUGGGCCCCUCGUGUACUUGAGUGUGAAGAUUUAGUCUUUAGAUUUUGGUUAAGAGUGUUUUGUUCAGCAUUUAACUCAUUCAUUUGUUCCACUUCAGAAGUUAAAGUCCUUAUCUCUCCAUCACAUAAAAAACCCGUUGUUCCAUUUCCGCUCUUGAAAUUCAAAGUCUAAUAUUUUUUGUUCAACUAACAAACCUUUUGAGUUUUGAAAAGUUCUAUAGUCCUUUUCCACACGAGUCGCUUCAAGCGGUUUUGUAGAGUUCACUUUUGUCUCUUCCAUGAAAAUGUUUGAAAUUCUCAAAGGAAGCGGUGUAGCUCUUGUGUGUUCUGAAUUUUCAUAGAAUGGUCAAAGGAGAGACACGUGCAUUACUGGAUGUACUCUUGAAGACGAAGGGAGAUCCAACUCGUAUGCUAUAGUUCUGAUCCUUUUGAUAACACUGUAAGGAACAUAAAAGCGUUUGGAAUGCUUCUGAGAUGCGGGUUCACGGUUUAUUGGCGAUACGCUUGCAAGCGAAGGAGAACAAGGUCACCAAUGUUAAAGGUUAAAUCUCUUCUAUGUUUAUUUGCCUAUUUUUUCCAUUGUGACUCUGCUCUUUAGUAAGUUAGACUUAAGUUGAUGCAAAAUAUCAUUUCUCUGCAUCAACGACGAAUCCAAGGCAUCAAUAGAGGUAAACUUUGCGGUCUAAUUAGCGACCAACGGUGGAGAAUGACCGUAUAAAGCUUCGAAUGGAGUCAUCUGGAUGGAUGAGUGGAAGAAAAUGUUGUGCCAAAACUCGGUUAAGUGCGUGAACUUGGACCAUUUACGAGGAUGAUCACUCACAAAACACCGUUGUAUAUCUCAAGACAUUUGUUAACGAUAUUUAUUUGUCCAUCAGUUUUCAUAUGGUAUGCUGUGGUGAAUUUUAAUUUUGUUCCUUGCACUUUAAAUAACUCUCUCUAGAAAGAACUCGGGAACAUGGGAUCUUUGUUUGAAACAGUAGAUUUUAGAUACCGCGAAGUUUGCAGAUUUCAACAGAGAAACAAUUGGCUUGAUCUUGGGCUGUAAAUCUUGCAAGAAGGGUAAUGAAAUGACAUAAAUUGGUAAGACGAUCACAGAUGACCUAGAUGACGGUAUUUCCGAAGGAUUUGGGAAGUUGAGUUAUGAAAUCCAUGGAAAAGGAAGCACUUAGUCGGAAAAAAGUCGAUUUUAUGCCCGAGUGGCCGGUGAUAGGAGUGUUGUGGAACUCGUCAAGUAAAGCAAGUCACAGUUUAUCACAAGGAGCAUAGAAGUGGCGCAGAUGGGUGAUCAAAUCAGGAACUGUUGAUGAUAUUGCCAUAAAGAAUGGUUCUUAAGAGGAAAAGUUUCUACUAAGGGCAUCAACAACUAAGUUCGAACUCCUAGGUUUGUAAAAGAUUUCAAAGUUGAAACCUUGCAGUUUGGAGGCCCAUUUCUAUUGUUCUAGGGUUUGAAUCCUUUGUAACAGUAUUUUUGCGUAUUUGGAGCAUGAGCAAUAACGUGUUGAAGACACAGCUUCAAACGCGCGAUUUUGAGCAACGGAACCAACUCGUCGACGAAUAAGGCUCAAAAUCAAAGAAUAAUAAAUCAUCAAUUUUGUUUUUAUUUAUUCAUUGUUAGAUAGGAAAUUGAAUAAGCUUUCCAAGACUUCGAACCGGGUGCAAAUCGGAGUUACAGCUCUAAAGUUAUGGCAAAAACACUUGUGCUGAUUUUUUCAUGACAGCACAGUGGGCGCGUAGCGCCCUCUUGCGCGCGGCGCGUGUUGUACCAGAUUCAAAAGUGCAUAAAUAGGGGGAAAAUAGAUUUUUUUAGGGUAUUUGUUCCCAAUCCAUCAAACCUUCAUUUGUUGGUCUAGAUAGCUUAGAAAACACCAUUAGAGCUUGCAUUUGGAUGAUCGGAGGUGGAUUGCUCAUCAAUCGGAGCUGACAACUCGUGAGAUGUUUGGUUUAUCUUCUUCUCUUUGUAUUUCUCUUUUGUUAAGUUUGUAUGUAAAUUACUCUAAACCCAUGGAUGUUUGUUACUCUUUCUACUAGUGGUAUAAAGUUUGCUUUACAAAUCUUAA